Molecule: non-coding RNA, 262 nt
Organism: Theobroma cacao (cacao)
Lineage: Eukaryota; Viridiplantae; Streptophyta; Magnoliopsida; Malvales; Malvaceae
Source: RefSeq, a predicted model, not a curated record
GGGAAAUUGUUGAUUUUCAAGGAAUCAAACCAUUAAAGGUGGUGAGUAUUCUAGCAAGAGUAAAGAGGUAGUAUCCGAGGAUCAAGCAUCAGAGUAUCACGAAUUCGAUUCCCAUUACAAUUGGUCACUGCAAUGGCGGGUUCUGUGGACCAACCUAUUAGAGGGGCACGAAAUCUGGGUAUAUUCUUCCUCGAUCAAAGAGGCGCGUAGGGUAACUCCUGAGGUAAAACUUUAGAGUUUACCUCACGUUGAACCACCACGU